AAACCUUGUACCAAUAAGUAAUCUUAUGUUUAUGAAUGUUUUUUUUUUUAAAUUGAUUACUAUGUUUUCCUUUAUAAUAUUUAGAAUGUUAUGUCGUUAUUUUCUAUAAUUUUUAAUAAAUAUACUAAAGAAGUAAAUUGUGAUUUUAAGAUAUGUGGAUCAGCUUGAAUAUUGAGGUGAUCCAAUAUUUUUAAAAGUUGUAUUUGUUCUAACUUCCACCAACAUUUUUCCUUGCCACACUAGCCCUGUACAAUAGAAUAACUUUUACUGGCAACAUUUAGUAAAUGUGAAUGUUGGAAAUUACUAGGAAAAGUCGACAAAUCUUUUUAAAAUAACACACUGGCCCAAUACGUAAUGGCUAGCAUUUCCUAGUGAAUGUUUCCACUGAAUUUCAGACUUUCACUGUAACAUAUGUACUAGUUGUUUACGAUAUUCUCCGAUGGUUUCAGUAAACCGCUUGUGUUGUCUGUGGCGCUGGUCGAGUCGGAACUGGGUCAAACGGGGCAUUCACAGGUUCAGUAGGAGCUGGAAAUGCCUCAGUUGCGGCUGUAACAUCAAACCGCAGCUGUGGGGUUUGAUGAGCAGAAAAUCUAAGAGAAGGCAUAUCUGAUUGGAUGACUUUGAAGAUGACAGAAUUGGGUGACUGUGAGGAGUCAGAAAUAAGAUCAAACAUUAUAGUGUCUAUUUU
Long non-coding RNA from Sitophilus oryzae (rice weevil), 688 nucleotides. RefSeq lists it as uncharacterized. NCBI's taxonomy places the organism in Eukaryota, Metazoa, Arthropoda, Insecta, Coleoptera, Curculionidae. The transcript has 2 exons. The record is from RefSeq and is a predicted model, not a curated record.